GAUGAAGAACGUAGCGAAAUGCGAUAAGUAAUGUGAAUUGCAGAAUUCAGUGAAUCAUCGAAUCUUUGAACGCACAUUGCGCCCUCUGGUAUUCCGGAGGGCAUGCCUGUUCGAGCGUCAUUUCACCACUCAAGCCUGGCUUGGUAUUGGGCGUCGCGGUGUUCCGCGCGCCUCAAAGUCUCCGGCUGAGCUGUCCGUCUCCAAGCGUUGUGAUUUCAUUAAUCGCUUCGGAGUGCGGGCGGCCGCGGCCGUUAAAUCUUUCACAAGGUUGACCUCGGAUCAGGCAGGGAUACCCGCUGAACUUAAGCAUAUCAAUAAGCGGAGGA
This 326-nucleotide unclassified non-coding RNA is filed under the name soil metagenome. RNAcentral describes it as "partial contains 5.8S ribosomal RNA, internal transcribed spacer 2, and large subunit ribosomal RNA". The stretch from base 1 to 120 matches the Rfam family "5.8S ribosomal RNA", at positions 35 to 154 of the family's 154-position model. The record is from RNAcentral.